AGAUUGAACGCUGGCGGCAUGCCUAACACAUGCAAGUCGAACGGGAGUAGCAAUACUCUAGUGGCGGACGGGUGAGGAAUACGUAGGAAUUUGCCCUUAAGUGGGGGAUAACCCGGGGAAACCCGGAUUAAUACCGCAUGACCUCGAAAGAGCAAAGGUGGGGGAUCGCAAGACCUCACGUCUUUUGGAGAAGCCUUACGUCGGAUUAGCUAGGUCGGUGAGGUAAUGGCUCACCAAGGCGACGAUACCGUAACUGGUCUGAGAGGAUGAUCGAGUCACGACCGG
This 285-nucleotide ribosomal RNA is filed under the name uncultured soil bacterium. RNAcentral's name for it is "partial 16S ribosomal RNA". It matches the Rfam family "Bacterial small subunit ribosomal RNA", at positions 26 to 317 of the family's 1533-position model. The record is from RNAcentral.